AUAUGGUCAAGUGAAGAAGCGCAUACGGUGGAUGCCUUGGCAGUCAGAGGCGAUGAAAGACGUGGUAGCCUGCGAAAAGCUUCGGGGAGUCGGCAAACAGACUUUGAUCCGGAGAUGUCUGAAUGGGGGAACCCAGCCAUCAUAAGAUGGUUAUCUUAAGCUGAAUACAUAGGCUUAAGAGGCGAACCAGGGGAACUGAAACAUCUAAGUACCCUGAGGAAAAGAAAUCAACCGAGAUUCCCUUAGUAGUGGCGAGCGAACGGGGACUAGCCCUUAAGUGGCUUUGAGAUUAGCGGAACGCUCUGGAAAGUGCGGCCAUAGUGGGUGAUAGCCCUGUACGCGAAAAUCUCUUAGUCAUGAAAUCGAGUAGGACGGAGCACGAGAAACUUUGUCUGAAUAUGGGGGGACCAUCCUCCAAGGCUAAAUACUACUGACUGACCGAUAGUGAACUAGUACCGUGAGGGAAAGGCGAAAAGAACCCCGGAGAGGGGAGUGAAAUAGAUCCUGAAACCGUAUGCGUACAAGCAGUGGGAGCCCACUUUGUUGGGUGACUGCGUACCUUUUGUAUAAUGGGUCAGCGACUUAUUUUCAGUGGCGAGCUUAACCGAAUAGGGGAGGCGUAGCGAAAGCGAGUCUUAAUAGGGCGUCUAGUCGCUGGGAAUAGACCCGAAACCGGGCGAUCUAUCCAUGGGCAGGUUGAAGGUUGGGUAACACUAACUGGAGGACCGAACCGACUACCGUUGAAAAGUUAGCGGAUGACCUGUGGAUCGGAGUGAAAGGCUAAUCAAGCUCGGAGAUAGCUGGUUCUCCUCGAAAGCUAUUUAGGUAGCGCCUCAUGUAUCACUGUAGGGGGUAGAGCACUGUUUCGGCUAGGGGGUCAUCCCGACUUACCAAACCGAUGCAAACUCCGAAUACCUACAAGUGCCGAGCAUGGGAGACACACGGCGGGUGCUAACGUCCGUCGUGAAAAGGGAAACAACCCAGACCGUCAGCUAAGGUCCCAAAGUUAUGGUUAAGUGGGAAACGAUGUGGGAAGGCUUAGACAGCUAGGAGGUUGGCUUAGAAGCAGCCACCCUUUAAAGAAAGCGUAAUAGCUCACUAGUCGAGUCGGCCUGCGCGGAAGAUGUAACGGGGCUCAAACCAUACACCGAAGCUACGGGUAUCACGUAAGUGAUGCGGUAGAGGAGCGUUCUGUAAGCCUGUGAAGGUGAGUUGAGAAGCUUGCUGGAGGUAUCAGAAGUGCGAAUGCUGACAUGAGUAACGAUAAUGGGUGUGAAAAACACCCACGCCGAAAGACCAAGGUUUCCUGCGCAACGUUAAUCGACGCAGGGUUAGUCGGUCCCUAAGGCGAGGCUGAAAAGCGUAGUCGAUGGAAAACAGGUUAAUAUUCCUGUACUUCUGGUUAUUGCGAUGGAGGGACGGAGAAGGCUAGGCCAGCUUGGCGUUGGUUGUCCAAGUUUAAGGUGGUAGGCUGAGAUCUUAGGUAAAUCCGGGAUCUUAAGGCCGAGAGCUGAUGACGAGUUAACUUUUAGUUAACGAAGUGGUUGAUGCCAUGCUUCCAAGAAAAGCUUCUAAGCUUCAGGUAACCAGGAACCGUACCCCAAACCGACACAGGUGGUUGGGUAGAGAAUACCAAGGCGCUUGAGAGAACUCGGGUGAAGGAACUAGGCAAAAUGGCACCGUAACUUCGGGAGAAGGUGCGCCGGUGAGGGUGAAGGACUUGCUCCGUAAGCUCAUGCCGGUCGAAGAUACCAGGCCGCUGCGACUGUUUAUUAAAAACACAGCACUCUGCAAACACGAAAGUGGACGUAUAGGGUGUGACGCCUGCCCGGUGCCGGAAGGUUAAUUGAUGGGGUUAGCUAACGCGAAGCUCUUGAUCGAAGCCCCGGUAAACGGCGGCCGUAACUAUAACGGUCCUAAGGUAGCGAAAUUCCUUGUCGGGUAAGUUCCGACCUGCACGAAUGGCGUAACGAUGGCGGCGCUGUCUCCACCCGAGACUCAGUGAAAUUGAAAUCGCUGUGAAGAUGCAGUGUAUCCGCGGCUAGACGGAAAGACCCCGUGAACCUUUACUAUAGCUUUGCACUGGACUUUGAAUUUGCUUGUGUAGGAUAGGUGGGAGGCUUUGAAGCGUGGACGCCAGUCUGCGUGGAGCCAACCUUGAAAUACCACCCUGGCAACUUUGAGGUUCUAACUCAGGUCCGUUAUCCGGAUCGAGGACAGUGUAUGGUGGGUAGUUUGACUGGGGCGGUCUCCUCCUAAAGAGUAACGGAGGAGUACGAAGGUGCGCUCAGACCGGUCGGAAAUCGGUCGUAGAGUAUAAAGGCAAAAGCGCGCUUGACUGCGAGACAGACACGUCGAGCAGGUACGAAAGUAGGUCUUAGUGAUCCGGUGGUUCUGUAUGGAAGGGCCAUCGCUCAACGGAUAAAAGGUACUCCGGGGAUAACAGGCUGAUACCGCCCAAGAGUUCAUAUCGACGGCGGUGUUUGGCACCUCGAUGUCGGCUCAUCACAUCCUGGGGCUGAAGCCGGUCCCAAGGGUAUGGCUGUUCGCCAUUUAAAGUGGUACGCGAGCUGGGUUUAGAACGUCGUGAGACAGUUCGGUCCCUAUCUGCCGUGGACGUUUGAGAUUUGAGAGGGGCUGCUCCUAGUACGAGAGGACCGGAGUGGACGAACCUCUGGUGUUCCGGUUGUCACGCCAGUGGCAUUGCCGGGUAGCUAUGUUCGGAAUAGAUAACCGCUGAAAGCAUCUAAGCGGGAAACUAGCCUCAAGAUGAGAUCUCACUGGGACCUUGAGUCCCCUGAAGGGCCGUCGAAGACUACGACGUUGAUAGGUUGGGUGUGUAAGCGCUGUGAGGCGUUGAGCUAACCAAUACUAAUUGCCCGUGAGGCUUGACCAUAUAACACCCAAGCAAUUUGACUACUCGAAAGAGCAUCAGAUUGCGGUGUGUGAAGACGCAAUGAACCGAAAGUUCGAUGCUCACAAAA
Molecule: ribosomal RNA, 2984 nt
Filed under: Pseudomonas sp. SJZ103
Lineage: Bacteria; Pseudomonadati; Pseudomonadota; Gammaproteobacteria; Pseudomonadales; Pseudomonadaceae
Description: partial 23S ribosomal RNA
Rfam family: Bacterial large subunit ribosomal RNA
Source: RNAcentral